This 253-nucleotide ribosomal RNA is filed under the name uncultured bacterium. Its description in RNAcentral is "partial 16S ribosomal RNA". It matches the Rfam family "Bacterial small subunit ribosomal RNA", at positions 524 to 776 of the family's 1533-position model. The record is from RNAcentral.
UACAGAGGUCUCGAGCGUUGUUCGGAAUUACUGGGCGUAAAGGGCUUGUAGGCGGUGACGUAAGUCAGAUGUGAAAGCCCCGGGCUUAACCUGGGAAGUGCAUUUGAUACUGCGUUGCUUGAGUGCGAGAGAGGAAAGGGGAAUUCCCAGUGUAGGAGUGAAAUCCGUAGAUAUUGGGAGGAAUACCGAUGGCGAAGGCGCCUUUCUGGCUCGCAACUGACACUGAGAUGCGAAAGCGUGGGUAGCAAACAGG